RNAcentral lists this unclassified non-coding RNA (331 nucleotides) under soil metagenome. RNAcentral's name for it is "partial contains 5.8S ribosomal RNA, internal transcribed spacer 2, and large subunit ribosomal RNA". The stretch from base 1 to 120 matches the Rfam family "5.8S ribosomal RNA", at positions 35 to 154 of the family's 154-position model. The record is from RNAcentral.
GAUGAAGAACGCAGCGAAAUGCGAUAAGUAAUGUGAAUUGCAGAAUUCAGUGAAUCAUCGAAUCUUUGAACGCACAUUGCGCCCCCUGGUAUUCCGGGGGGCAUGCCUGUUCGAGCGUCAUUUCACCACUCAAGCCUCGCUUGGUAUUGGGCAACGCGGUCCGCCGCGUGCCUCAAGUCGUCCGGCUGGGUCUUCUGUCCCCUAAGCGUUGUGGAAACUAUUCGCUAAAGGGUGUUCGGGAGGCUACGCCGUAAAACAACCCCAUUUCUAAGGUUGACCUCGGAUCAGGUAGGGAUACCCGCUGAACUUAAGCAUAUCAAUAAGCGGAGGA